AACUCUUAGCGGUGGAUCACUCGGCUUGUGCGUCAAUGAAGAAUGCAGUUAACUGUGAGAAUUAAUGUGAAUUGCAGGAAAAACUGAUCAUCGACACUUCAAACGCACUUGCGGGCCCAUAUUCCUCCCAGGGCUACGCCUGUCUGAGCGUCU
RNAcentral lists this ribosomal RNA (153 nucleotides) under Sphenodon punctatus (tuatara). RNAcentral describes it as "5.8S ribosomal RNA (ENSSPUG00000018113.1)". It matches the Rfam family "5.8S ribosomal RNA". Rfam says of the family: 5.8S ribosomal RNA (5.8S rRNA) is a component of the large subunit of the eukaryotic ribosome. It is transcribed by RNA polymerase I as part of the 45S precursor that also contains 18S and 28S rRNA. The record is from Rfam by way of RNAcentral. Lineage: Eukaryota; Metazoa; Chordata; Lepidosauria; Sphenodontia; Sphenodontidae.